Molecule: long non-coding RNA, 1734 nt
Organism: Tachysurus fulvidraco (yellow catfish)
Lineage: Eukaryota; Metazoa; Chordata; Actinopteri; Siluriformes; Bagridae
Exons: 2
Source: RefSeq, a predicted model, not a curated record
CCUCGUCUUUCUUCAGCUCCAAUGUUUUAUUUGCCUCCUAAUUGCCGUAUUAAGCCGUUCUUCGGUUUCUCUUCGGCCCUCUCAAAAGCCUCGUUUCAAAGGCCUAAUGAAAAUAAACUGGAGGGCCCCUGACGCUUUAUUUUGAAAGAGAACACAGCAGCGGUGGGUUCAGGGCGAGGUGGAAAAACAGGGGGCAUCUGGAACAAAGACCAGAAGAGUGCGAGGUCAAACAGCCCGCUGUCCGCAACAUCUCUGGCAGACGCAGCAUGGGAGGAGAACGAUGACGCUUAUAUAAUCGCCGGUCCGUUUUCGUGUAGGAUAGAAUAUAUCACACGGUCUGACAGAGCAAACAAUAGAUCACGCUUUUGUCUCCGCCAAAGUGGGCUCUAUUCAGCAGAUCAUGCAUCUGGACUACAGGAGAUUAAGCCUCGGGUUGCGGGCCAGCUUUCACGGUGUGACCUUUGACCCCUGGCUCAGGACGCCUGCACCAACACUGCCUCAAUCAUGAACAGGGGAGUUACAGGUACGCUUGUGCCGUGUGAUUCUUCCGCCCUCCACCUGUAUGGACUUUGCUCCUAAUCCUCUCUGAUCCUCUCUCUCUUUGAAUACUUGGACUACUGAGUGUAACUAAUUCUCCCACACAAGGAUAUUGUCUCUCCUCCUUUCGCCUUUGUCUUCUUCUUCAUGGUCUCUUAUUCAGGAGCUGCGUUCGUUAGCCGAACAGCCGGACCAGGAGAAAGCCUUCUAAUCUAAAGGACUUAAUGAGCUGUUUCCAUCACCUUUAAUCUGAUUGUUUUCUUUGAUUACAAAAAGACAGAACAGAUAAACAGCCACGCUGAUAAAUACCCAACCCCACCCCCCUCUCACUCUCUCUCUGUUCGGCUGUUAUUUUCCUGAGAAUGUAAUUAUUUCAUUCACAAAGAAGACAUCUCACACAGGUUUGUCCAACAGAUCGCUUUGUAAAAACACAACAGGACGACGCAAACUCUGGCCACGAUGCCACACAGGAGUCAUUUGUGACACGCUGACACGCUGAGAAACAAACUGCUUUUGCAAUUAAGAGCGCAAUCGCAGUGAUUGGGAGUUUAUGAUUGCAGCAAAUGUUAAAGCCAUUGGCCUACCGCAGUACGCAAGCAGCACAUGGGACCGAGGAAAGUUACAGACGUCAAUUCCAUGGAGACGGCCCGGACCCUGGAGGGGCUUUUUUCAGACAGCCAUUUGGUGCCCUUCAACCCCCACGGUCUCUAACCUUUUGACUCCUGCUCCUUGAGGUCAGCGAUGCUUGGGGAGCCGAGAUCCAGCAGCACGGCCUGUAAAUCAGGGCGCUCACGGGAACGCCGCUGCGGGCAGGAUCCCAGCCCUGGUAGCAUCACUCUGCCCCACUGACACACCAGUUCCCAGCCUGGGUUCCCAUCCACACGGCUUUAAUUCAUUUAUGGAAACCUCCAGUCCGAGACUUACUGCCACACAGAAACUGAAACCUAGACCACAAUCACACACAAGUCACUUCUUCUAACGAAAACGCAGGCUAGAGCCAUAACAGUGCAGAACCCAUAAGGAAGAGAACAUUUUUAAUUAUUCUCAAAGAACCUUUAGAGAGUGUAGCAAGUACCAGUGCAGUUCUAGGUCAGGUUCUAGAUCCUACACAUAAAUAACAAUCAUUUGGAGUUUGUACUACACACACACACACACACACACACACACACACACACACACACACACACACACACACAG